AAUCCUGAAUUCGAAAGGGUGAUGGAUUCAACCGUAUUCCGGACAGUCCGGGACACCUCCUGCCAGAUGGCUCCGGUCGCCCGCGGCGAUUCAUUUCGCUCGCGGUGUCGUUCCCGGUGGUCACUCGGCGGUUGGGGCUGUAGCACGCGGAGGCCGGAGCGGCGAUNUUCCUCCCUAGUANAAACGUCGCGACCCGUUGGGUGCCGGCCAAAGGCCCGGGCAGGCAGCCCGUGCGUCCCUCGGUUUCGCAAGAGAUCGAGGUCGCGCGGACGUCCGGUGACCCGGCCGGCCGCCCGACGGUAGGACCAGAGGAGUCGAUCCGCUAAAUGAGAAGCACUUGGGAUGUGUGCAGCGUCCGGCCCGGCGGCCGGCGUGGGCGGGGAAUCCGACCUCGGUCGGUCUGGGGUCCGUGCGGCGUCACGGCCCUGGCCCCGUUUCGCGUCCGGCACGUCGGUGUCCUCGGACUCGGAUCAGCGCUCCCGUCCGCGGCGCC
RNAcentral lists this ribosomal RNA (493 nucleotides) under Clonaria sp. 3 SB-2021. RNAcentral describes it as "partial large subunit ribosomal RNA". The record is from RNAcentral. Lineage: Eukaryota; Metazoa; Arthropoda; Insecta; Phasmatodea; Diapheromeridae.